RNAcentral lists this long non-coding RNA (484 nucleotides) under Olea europaea subsp. europaea. The record is from RNAcentral. Lineage: Eukaryota; Viridiplantae; Streptophyta; Magnoliopsida; Lamiales; Oleaceae.
UGAAUAAAUUUGGUGUUAUAAUUGAAUUGUAUGGUGGUGGAUUUUUUAUAUGAAUAGAAAGUUUGAAUUUUUUUUUUCAUUUAUCCACCUAAAUGAUUAAUUCGUAUGCGAAUUUUCAUUUUUAAUCCCAUAUUUGUUAUUGUUUAAGCUUUCGCAUGUGUUAGUUGAUAUCAUAGUUAGUCUAUGCAUCCAACAAUGGAUCGAGGAUGACAAGUUAAACGUCUUGUUUUCAUGGUUGAUAAUGGAAACUGUAGACAUGAGCUAAUACGAAUUUGUCAAUAUCCUGAGGUCGUGACACAAAAAGGUGGCCAGAUUGGUUAUCCCUCCACAAUAGAUGAUGAGUGACCUUUAUGCCGAUAGGCGAGAGGCAGGAGGCAGUGGCCAUGGCGUACAUGUUAUGGCGAAAAGAGACUGGUGCAAUGAUGGGUUUAGUUGAGAGCUUGACUGUAGAUAUGUUGCAAAUGGAAAACUCAGAGAUAGAGAG